AUGGGAUUACUCCAGUCGUCUUCCUCCAGCUCGCGCGUAGCCUGGGUGCUGCUGCUGCUGCUGCUUUGCUUCUGCGAGCUUCCAUUCAGAGCACACGGAGGAGGUUCUCGCAAGCUCUAUAUAGCUUACUUAGGUCAUGUGAAGCAUGAUGAUCCCAGCGAUGUCGUCGCAUCGCACCAUGAUCUGCUCACCUCUCUCCUCGAAAGCAAGGAAGAAUCUUUGGCCUCCGUGGUGUACAACUAUAAGCAUGGCUUCUCGGGGUUCGCCGCCAUGCUCACCACAGAGCAAGCGAAAGAACUUGCAGAGUUUCCGGAAGUAAUCAGUGUCCAACCGAGUAAAAGGCACACGCCAACCACCACACGGAGCUGGGACUUUCUUGGGCUCAACCACCAGAUGACGGGCAGUGAUAUGCUCCACGGAAGCAGCUCUGGAGGAGAGGACGUGAUCAUCGGGGUGAUCGACACCGGGAUCUGGCCGGAGUCGAGAAGCUUCAACGACGCAGGCUACGGGCCGGUGCCAUCAAGGUGGAAAGGGAAGUGCCAGGUCGGACACGACUGGGGCAGCACAAACUGCAGCCGUAAGAUCAUCGGUGCACGGUUCUAUAGCGCGGGAGUACCUGACCAGUUCCUCGAGACGGACUCGCUCUCGCCCCGGGACCAUAACGGUCACGGCACACAUUGUGCGUCCACUGCCGCCGGCUCGGCCGUGGAGGCGGCCAGCUUCCACGGCCUAGCCAAGGGGGUCGCUCGGGGAGGCGCAACGCGUGCUCGCAUCGCGGUGUACAAGUCCUUCUGGGGCCUUGGCUUCGGGAACACAGCGACCGUGCUGGCAGCCAUCGACGACGCGAUCCAUGACGGAGUGGACGUGUUGUCGAUGUCCUUCGGUGUCGACGAGAACUCGUUCGGCGUCCUGCACGCGGUCCAGAAAGGGAUCACCGUCGUGUAUGCGGGGGGUAACGAGGGGCCAAGGCCACAGACAGUUAGGAACGGUGCGCCGUGGGCUAUCACCGUUGCGGCUAGCAAGAUUGAUCGGUCAUUUCCGACGAUGAUCACGCUGGGAAGCAAACAACAGAUAGUGGGACAGUCUCUCUAUUACCGAGGGAAGAAUUCGUCAAAGAGCAGCAGUGGUUUCAAAGGUCUUGUGGUUCCAGUGAGUUGUGACAUGGAAAUUCUCAAUGGCACGGACGUGAAAGGGCAGAUCCUGUUCUGCACCAUGCAGCCAGGGGAUCAAGAUGUGUUCCAGCAGUCAUCACAGUACGUCCGGGAUGGUGGGGGAUCUGGUGUCAUCUUUGCCCAGUAUACCACGGACCUAAGCUUCACAGCACUAGAUGUCUGCAAGGGCAUAGCCUGCGUUCUCGUGGACCUCGACAUCGGAAAGAAGAUCGCCAGCUACAUGGACGACGCAAGCUCUCCAAUGGUGAAGAUCGAACCGGCGCGAACCAUCACGGGGAAGGAAACACUGGCACCAAAAGUGGCCAUGUUCUCCUCGAGGGGUCCGUCGCCUGAUUAUCCCGCCAUUAUCAAGCCUGACAUAGCGGCACCUGGAGUCAACAUCUUGGCGGCAAAGGAAAAUUCGUAUGCAAUUUUGUCGGGGACGUCGAUGGCAGCCCCACAUGUAGCAGGCGUUGUUGCCCUGCUGAAAGCUCUUCACCCAAACUGGUCAUCUGCUGCAAUCAAAUCAGCCAUUGUCACUACCGCCCAUACAACCGAUGAGCACGGAAUGCCGAUACUGGCGGAAGGGCUGCCUCGGAAGAUUGCCGACCCGUUCGACUACGGAGGCGGCAACAUCAACCCUUGUGGGGCAGCUGAUCCGGGCCUGGUUUACGACAUUGAUUCACAAGAUUACGAUAAAUACUUCCGCUGCACCAUUGUCAAGAAGGCCUCCGUGCACUGCAACACGACGGGAAUGCUACCGGCAUACCACCUGAACUUGCCGUCCAUCUCGGUUCCCAACCUAAGGAGUCCGGUCACCGUGUCAAGGACGGUGACAAACGUUGGGGAUGUCGAUUCCAUGUACCAUGUAGAAAUCCAGAGCCCUGUCGGAGUAAGGAUGGAGGUUGAUCCACCUGUACUAGUGUUUGAUGCGAAGAACAAGGUUCGCAUGUUUCGAGUGAAAUUGUCCCCUGUGUGGAAGCUACAAGGGGAUUACACUUUUGGCAGCCUUACAUGGGGUAAUGAUCAGAAGGUGGUGAGGAUUCCAGUUGCGGCCCGGAUUACAAUUCAGGAUUUCUAUGCAGAUGUUGCAUAG
This 2247-nucleotide ribosomal RNA is filed under the name Triticum aestivum (bread wheat). RNAcentral describes it as "partial small subunit ribosomal RNA". The record is from RNAcentral. Lineage: Eukaryota; Viridiplantae; Streptophyta; Magnoliopsida; Poales; Poaceae.